UUAAUAAGAAGCUUAAAGCAAUCAGUUUCGACCUGAAAAUUAGGUAUAAUUACCCUUAUUAAU
RNAcentral lists this transfer RNA (63 nucleotides) under Trachytettix bufo. Its description in RNAcentral is "tRNA-Arg". Lineage: Eukaryota; Metazoa; Arthropoda; Insecta; Orthoptera; Tetrigidae. The record is from RNAcentral.